RNAcentral lists this ribosomal RNA (492 nucleotides) under Bacillus sp. ET43. RNAcentral's name for it is "bacterial SSU rRNA". It matches the Rfam family "Bacterial small subunit ribosomal RNA", at positions 20 to 496 of the family's 1533-position model. Lineage: Bacteria; Bacillati; Bacillota; Bacilli; Caryophanales; Bacillaceae. The record is from RNAcentral.
UGGCUCAGGACGAACGCUGGCGGCGUGCCUAAUACAUGCAAGUCGAGCGGACUUUUAAAAGCUUGCUUUUAAAAGUCAGCGGCGGACGGGUGAGUAACACGUGGGCAACCUGCCUGUAAGACUGGGAUAACUUCGGGAAACCGGAGCUAAUACCGGAUACGUUCUUCUCUCGCAUGAGAGAAGAUGGAAAGAUGGUUUCGGCUAUCACUUACAGAUGGGCCCGCGGCGCAUUAGCUAGUUGGUGGGGUAAUGGCCCACCAAGGCGACGAUGCGUAGCCGACCUGAGAGGGUGAUCGGCCACACUGGGACUGAGACACGGCCCAGACUCCUACGGGAGGCAGCAGUAGGGAAUCUUCCGCAAUGGACGAAAGUCUGACGGAGCAACGCCGCGUGAACGAUGAAGGCUUUCGGGUCGUAAAGUUCUGUUGUUAGGGAAGAACAAGUACCAGAGUAACUGCUGGUACCUUGACGGACCUAACCAGAAAGCCACGC